This 513-nucleotide ribosomal RNA is filed under the name uncultured bacterium. RNAcentral describes it as "partial 16S ribosomal RNA". It matches the Rfam family "Bacterial small subunit ribosomal RNA", at positions 28 to 507 of the family's 1533-position model. The record is from RNAcentral.
GACGAACGCUGGCUGCGUGCUUAACACAUGCAAGUCGAACGAGAGCGUCGAGAAAGCUUGCUUUUUCUUCAAUCUAGUGGCAAACGGGUGAGUAACACGUAAACAAAAUGCCCUCCGCAUGGGGACAACAGCUGGAAACAGCUGCUAAAACCGAAUACGAUACCAAACUCGCAUAACUAUAGGGAGAAAGGGUGGCCUCUAUUUAUAAGCUAUCGCCGGCUGAGGGGCUUGCGGAUGAUUAGCCAGUUGGAGGGGGCACGGUCCACCAAGGCUACGGUAAGGAGCAGGUCUGGUAGGAUGAGCAGCCACCUCGGAAUUGGGACACGGUCAAGACCCAUACGGGAGGCAGCAGUAGGGAUGCUUCAGCAAGGGGCGAGAGCCUGAGGGUGCAACGCCGCGGGAGUGAAGACGGCGUUCGGGUUGUGAAUCUUUGUCAUACGGGACGAAGAAUCUUGUGGUUAAUACCCAUGAGAAGUGACGGUACCGUAAGAGAAAGCCACGGCUAACUACGUG